This 28-nucleotide non-coding RNA is filed under the name Rattus norvegicus (Norway rat). Lineage: Eukaryota; Metazoa; Chordata; Mammalia; Rodentia; Muridae. The record is from RNAcentral.
UAGAAUCCCAUGAUCAAAAGAUUUCUGC